UACAGAGGUCUCAAGCGUUGUUCGGAUUCAUUGGGCGUAAAGGGCGCGUAGGCGGCGGGGUAAGUCGGGUGUGAAAUCUCAGAGCUCAACUCUGAAACUGCACUCGAUACUGCUCUGCUUGAGGACUGGAGAGGAGACUGGAAUUCACGGUGUAGCAGUGAAAUGCGUAGAUAUCGUGAGGAAGACCAGUGGCGAAGGCGGGGCUCUGGACAGUUCCUGACGCUGAGGCGCGAAGGCCAGGGGAGCAAACGGG
This 253-nucleotide ribosomal RNA is filed under the name uncultured bacterium. RNAcentral's name for it is "partial 16S ribosomal RNA". It matches the Rfam family "Bacterial small subunit ribosomal RNA", at positions 524 to 776 of the family's 1533-position model. The record is from RNAcentral.